Molecule: ribosomal RNA, 253 nt
Filed under: uncultured bacterium
Lineage: Bacteria
Description: partial 16S ribosomal RNA
Rfam family: Bacterial small subunit ribosomal RNA
Source: RNAcentral
UACGGGGGGGGCAAGCGUUGCUCGGAAUCACUGGGCGUAAAGCGCACGUAGGCGGCUUUUUAAGUCAGGGGUGAAAUCCUGGAGCUCAACUCCAGAACUGCCUUUGAUACUGAGAAGCUUGAGUCCGGGAGAGGUGAGUGGAACUGCGAGUGUAGAGGUGAAAUUCGUAGAUAUUCGCAAGAACACCAGUGGCGAAGGCGGCUCACUGGCCCGGUACUGACGCUGAGGUGCGAAAGCGUGGGGAGCAAACAGG